GAGGUGUAACUAGAGGAACAAGUGAUUCUUUGAAUUGUCUUUCGAAACUGUUGUUAACCGUUCAUUUAAAAAUGCCAACAACAGAUACAGAAAGCUCUUUCAUAGAAGAAACUUGUAAAGAAGUUGACCACAGUCCUAAUCAUCAUAAAGGCCUGACAGAAAAUCCUUCCAUUGAUGCUGAUUAUGGUGAACAGCAGACUUUAAGGUCCAACAGAUCUACAUAUUUUGAACAGAAGAUACAUAUUCCAACCUCAGAAGCUAGUAUCUUUAGUUUCCGAAAGUUGUGGGCCUUUACAGGACCUGGAUUUUUGAUGAGCAUAGCCUAUCUGGAUCCUGGAAAUAUAGAGUCUGAUCUUCAGUCUGGAACAGUUGCAGAAUUUAAGCUGUUGUGGAUUUUGAUGUGGGCAACAGUUUUGGGUUUAGUCAUGCAACGAUUGGCUGUUCGAGUUGGAGUGGUGACAGGACUAAAUUUAGCCGAACUUUGCCAACGAAUUUAUCCAAAAGUGCCUCGUUUGAUUUUGUGGAUUAUGAUAGAAAUUGCCAUAAUUGGGUCUGACAUGCAAGAGGUUAUAGGAACAGCUAUUGCAUUCUAUUUGUUGUCUAAUAAAGCAAUCCCACUCUAUGGAGGUGUUCUCAUCACAAUUGUUGACACAUUUACAUUCCUGUUUUUGGAUAAGUAUGGUCUACGAAAAUUAGAAGCUUUAUUUGGUUUCUUGAUUACAGUUAUGGCUAUUACUUUUGGAUAUGAGUAUGUACGAGUUGCCCCGACACAAACAGAAGUGGUUAAAGGACUUUUCUAUACCUGGUGUUCUCACUGUGAUUCUAAAGCUUUAUUGCAAGCUGUAGGAAUAGUAGGGGCUGUAAUUAUGCCUCAUAAUUUAUAUCUUCAUUCUGCUUUAGUCAAGUCUCGAGAAGUGGACAGAUCCAAAAGAAAUGAAAUCAAAGAAGCAAACAAGUACUUUUUCAUCGAAUCAGCUAUAGCUCUUUUUGUAUCAUUAGUCAUCAACAUAUUUGUAGUUUCUGUAUUUGCUGAAGGUUUGUACAACAAGACUAAUGCUGAUGUGCAUGAACUCUGUCUUACCAAUAACCUUCUUCAUGCCAGUGACUUUCCUAAUAAUACAAAUAAUGUUGAAGCUGACAUCUAUAAAGGGGGAGUGUUCCUAGGGUGUCAGUUUGGGGUUGCAGCCAUGUACAUUUGGGCAGUUGGUAUUCUAGCAGCUGGACAGAGCUCUACUAUGACUGGUACUUAUGCUGGUCAGUUUGUUAUGGAAGGUUUUCUCGAUCUUCAUUGGACUCGCUGGAAGAGAGUUUUACUAACUCGAACAAUCGCCAUUUGUCCCACCAUAUUGGUUGCUAUCUUUAGUAAUAUUGAUGACUUGACAGGAAUGAAUGACCUACUUAAUGCUCUUAUGAGUCUUCAGCUUCCAUUUGCCCUUCUUCCAACACUAACAUUUUCCUCAUCUGUAGCCAUUAUGGGAGAUUUUCGGAAUGGAGUAUAUCACCCAUGUACUGAAUCAAACACAGUGGCCCCGCUUACCUCUUUUCAUUUUUGGAAACAGUCUCGUAUAUACAGUUACUUGUGUAUAUAACGUGAAUAACCAAUCAAAAGCUCAGAAUGUUCCCCUAGUGGCUUUCUCAAUCAUUUUCGUGUAUUAGGAUGCCAUCUCGUUCUUUUGAAACAAGAUUUCAAGGAGGAUAAACAAGGUUAUUGCAAGUGUCCUGUCUGUUAUGGUUGUUGGCAUUAACCUUUACUUCGUCUUCAACUUUACACAGAGUGCUC
Molecule: unclassified non-coding RNA, 1780 nt
Filed under: Limulus polyphemus (Atlantic horseshoe crab)
Lineage: Eukaryota; Metazoa; Arthropoda; Merostomata; Xiphosura; Limulidae
Description: protein Malvolio-like, transcript variant X3
Source: RNAcentral